This 850-nucleotide long non-coding RNA is filed under the name Panax ginseng (ginseng). Its description in RNAcentral is "long non-coding RNA (PGIN_LNC000111)". Lineage: Eukaryota; Viridiplantae; Streptophyta; Magnoliopsida; Apiales; Araliaceae. The record is from RNAcentral.
UCAUAAUUAAUGAAUUAAAACCAAGAAUCCACAACUGAAUAGACAUCAAAAGAUAAAAGUAAGAUGAGAGAAGAGAAUAGAAUCUGUUGUCAGCAAAUCUGAUGCUCCCCUCUUGCUCUUGCUCUUGAUCUUCAAUGGUCUCCAAGUUGCUUCAAUCUCCAAAACUAAUAAGAACUAGGGUUAUUUUCUAAUCUAAAGGAGUGUUUAAUCUAGGCUAAGCUAUGUAAUCUCCAAGCUAAGCUAUGUAAUCUCCUUUUAUUUUAUGCCUUAUAUCAUGUAUUUAUAGGUUACAAGUCUAAUUUUUAGUUUAGGAACAAACCCAAUCCUAUUUGGAGUCAAAAAGGUGUCAAAAUUCGCCCAAAACGCGUCCAGGCCGCACCAAACCCUUCCCCCAGCGCCCCAGCGCUGGGCAACGGCGCUGGAGUCUGCCCCCUAGAGCCCCGGCGCUGGGCAUAGGCCAAAAAUGGGCGCCCCGGCGCUGGCCCAAAAUCCGAGAUUUUCUGCUCCGACGUCCUUUGGGAAAAUGGCCAUAACUUCUUCGUCCGAACUCCGAUUUCGAUGAUUCAAGAUGUUCCGGAAAGAGGAGAAGUAGAUCUACAACUUUAAUUCUUUGAGGUUUCCGAAAUAAUGUCAGAAGCUAUAGUCAAAUUGGCUCUGAAGUGACUGCUGUGUAAAUGGCAAGCCGAAAAUGCGAAUCUAGCCACCCCAAACAUCGAUCCAUGUAACUUUUGUCCCAAAUCCUACAAAACAAUAUAAAACAUGCUUGAAUAGACACAAACACAUAAAAACAUCCUAAAAGACUUAAGAACAACAAUAAAUUAAGCCCGAAUGUAUCCAAUUCAUGGGUAUA